Molecule: ribosomal RNA, 460 nt
Filed under: uncultured bacterium
Lineage: Bacteria
Description: partial 16S ribosomal RNA
Rfam family: Bacterial small subunit ribosomal RNA
Source: RNAcentral
CCUACGGGUGGCAGCAGUGAGGAAUAUUGGUCAAUGGACGAGAGUCUGAACCAGCCAAGUAGCGUGAAGGAUGACUGCCCUAUGGGUUGUAAACUUCUUUUAUAUGGGAAUAAAACGUUCCACGUGUGGGAUUUUGUAUGUACCAUAUGAAUAAGGGUCGGCUAACUCCGUUCCAGCAGCCGCGGUAAUACGGAGGCUCCGAACGUUAUCCGGAUUUAUUGGGUUUAAAGGGAGCGUAGGUGGAUUGUUAAGUCAGUUGUGAAAGUUUGCGGCUCAACCGUAAAAUUGCAGUUGAAACUGGCAGUCUUGAGUACAGUAGAGGUGGGCGGAAUUCGUGGUGUAGCGGUGAAAUGCUUAGAUAUCACGAAGAACUCCGAUUGCGAAGGCAGUUCACUGGACUGCAACUGACACUGAGGCUCGAAAGUGUGGGUAUCAAACAGGAUUAGAUACCCGAGUAGUC